RNAcentral lists this transfer RNA (71 nucleotides) under Loxodonta africana (African savanna elephant). It matches the Rfam family "tRNA". From Rfam's summary of the family: Transfer RNA (tRNA) molecules are approximately 80 nucleotides in length. Their secondary structure includes four short double-helical elements and three loops (D, anti-codon, and T loops). The record is from Rfam by way of RNAcentral. Lineage: Eukaryota; Metazoa; Chordata; Mammalia; Proboscidea; Elephantidae.
GCAGUGGUGGUUCAACGGUAGAAUUCUCACCUUCCAUGUGGGAGAUUUGGAUUCUAUUCCUGAUCAAUACA